GGCCACGUGACCGUGACACGCGAAACGCCCAGACAGAGCCGGCAGCUGGAAAUACUUCUCUUUGCGUGAGUCAAACAAGUAAGAAUAUGCAGGCAGAGUUGUUCGGCGUCCUACAGUUUGUGCGCUGAGGAAGAGGAGAGCUGAGCGGUCCUGCUGUGUAUCUAAUGCAGCUGUGUUCCACGGUAAGCUGGCCCCCUCGAUGGUCUCUCCCACCAUGAAAGCUGUGGUUGAUGCUGUCUGGGCUGUGUGGAGCAUCGGUGCUUCUAUCUAUGACUACCUGCACACCAGCGCCAUGGAGGAACGCAUUCACGCAUUGGAGAAUGUCAUCACCAUCCAUCAGUGUGUUAUCGGGGUGCUGAGUGCUGGCCUGGUCAUACUCGUCACCUACAUUUUCUUGAGGAAACAUUGACGUCCACUGGCAGUGAUGCAUGGGUACCAGGAGCAGCAGCACCCCAGAGCCAGCUCGGUGCCUCACAUGCAGAAUAAAUACUAAUCACAGCACCCCCUCAUUGUGUGUGCGCUACAUCUGCUGCCUUAAGCUGCUUUGUGCUGAGAAUGUUUCAAGAUUGAACAGCCAAACAAGAUGGUGAAACUCCUUUGCAUUAAAAAGUGUACAUUAGCUUAUGGCACUUGAGCUAAAAAGGUCAAGGAAAAGUUUGGACUGUGAAAAUGUUGGUGCUACUGGCCAGAUCUUCAAAGAUGGAGAUGAAGACUUUAAUGAAGUCAACAGAGGAUCUGCUUAGGUGUCUAAGGUACAUGAAGCCAUGUGUAUUAGUGUUUAACACAUAAUUUAGCAAAUGAUUUAUCUAUUUUUAAUGCACUUUACUGAUUAUUCAGUCAACUGGAUGCUUACUAAAUGAGAUCAUUAAACUACAAUGUCAACAACUCAGACCAACUUUCAUCUAGUACCAGAUCCAGCUCCCAAAAUGACCUUCAAACUGUUGUUCGGCUGACAAAAAGCUGAUUGGGCUCACUGGGAUCCCAAAAGCAUUGUCCAGGUGAUCGCCAUGGCAAUAGAAUCCCAAACAAGAGACUAUGGCACAUCUGGGUUUUGCUACUUUACAAAAUCAGAGUAUAUGAACUUUGACUCAUGCCAACAUGCGUCGGCUGUUCUCAACCCAAGGAAAAUCUAACCCUGGCCAAAGAACUUUUUAGUUAGAAAUCUACAUUGUUCAACUAAGGUAACAAAACUUAAUUUGUUCAUAGGACUGUAAUGUUUAUCAAUAAGUUUGACUGUAAAUUGUAUCCUGGAAGGGUAUAGGGUGUAGUUACAUGACGUUAUAUACACCUUUUUGAUCUUACUGUAAAGUAAUUUUAAGUGACCUUAAUUAAUAAUUACAUCAUUUUAAGAUCCAUUGUGUGACCAUAACUGAAUGAAAUGAUCGUGACAUUGGUUUAGCCUGUUGUACAGCUUUUGCGGAUGCUUGCUUGUUUUUAAAAGACAUUUGUAAUAAGCAGAAAUGGAGCCACGUCAUCGUUUAAUUGUAACUUUAGUAACAAGUAGCUGUAAUUAACUUUUUUAAUAGAGAUAAGGAACUAUUUUGUACUGAAAUGUUUGCCACUGUAUUUUAACCAUACGUUACGUAUGUUUUGUGACCACCUCUUUUUGAGGUUUUGUGUGUAUCGGUGAGUUUAGGAGAGAGCUACUGGCGCAGAAAGGCUUCCGUUAACUUAUUAAAAUUGCUCCUUCAUUACGUAUUUACUGUAAUUAAUUGAUUGAUUGGUUAAUUGUAUAAGUUUUGUCCCAGAAUAUGUAAUACAAAUAAUAUAUCUUAAAUAAACUGAAGUUGGGUGAAAAUUACAAUA
This is a long non-coding RNA of Brienomyrus brachyistius, 1806 nucleotides long. RefSeq lists it as uncharacterized. Lineage: Eukaryota; Metazoa; Chordata; Actinopteri; Osteoglossiformes; Mormyridae. The transcript has 2 exons. The record is from RefSeq and is a predicted model, not a curated record.